Molecule: transfer RNA, 69 nt
Filed under: Ictidomys tridecemlineatus (thirteen-lined ground squirrel)
Lineage: Eukaryota; Metazoa; Chordata; Mammalia; Rodentia; Sciuridae
Also listed under: 1 other name
Description: Spermophilus tridecemlineatus (thirteen-lined ground squirrel) tRNA
Rfam family: tRNA
About the family: Transfer RNA (tRNA) molecules are approximately 80 nucleotides in length. Their secondary structure includes four short double-helical elements and three loops (D, anti-codon, and T loops). Further hydrogen bonds mediate the characteristic L-shaped molecular structure. tRNAs have two regions of fundamental functional importance: the anti-codon, which is responsible for specific mRNA codon recognition, and the 3' end, to which the tRNAs corresponding amino acid is attached (by aminoacyl-tRNA synthetases). tRNAs cope with the degeneracy of the genetic code in two manners: having more than one tRNA (with a specific anti-codon) for a particular amino acid; and 'wobble' base-pairing, i.e. permitting non-standard base-pairing at the 3rd anti-codon position.
Source: Rfam by way of RNAcentral
AGGGCUGGGGCUCAGUGGUAGAGCGCUUGCCUGGCACGCAAGAGGCACUGGAUUUGAUCCUCAGCACCA